Long non-coding RNA from Dermochelys coriacea (leatherback sea turtle), 264 nucleotides. RefSeq lists it as uncharacterized. NCBI's taxonomy places the organism in Eukaryota, Metazoa, Chordata, Testudines, Dermochelyidae. The transcript is spliced from 4 exons. The record is from RefSeq and is a predicted model, not a curated record.
GACGCUGAUGAUACUAUAGGAACUGGUAUGACAAAUGUGCUUCUUAAAAAGCUGGAAGAUACAGGAAUUGCGAUAGCUGACUUGAGAGGUCAGGGCUACGAUAACAGUGCCAACAUGAGAGGGCAGAACAGAAGAGUGCAGACAUGGAUUCGAGUGUUAAACCCUCGGUUUUUUUGUCCCAUGCAGUUCUCAUUCAUUGAACUUUAUGGUCAGUGAUGCAGCAUCAGCUUCUAGUGAGGCUGCUGAAUUUGCUUAAUGUAAUUC